AGAAUGUAGCUUAACUAAAGCCCCUCGCUUACACCGAGCUGUUACCCGUUAAUUUCGGGUCAUCCUG
RNAcentral lists this transfer RNA (67 nucleotides) under Oreolalax nanjiangensis (Nanjiang toothed toad). RNAcentral describes it as "tRNA-Val". Lineage: Eukaryota; Metazoa; Chordata; Amphibia; Anura; Megophryidae. The record is from RNAcentral.